CGAGCGAAUUUGGCCAAGGUUUUUUUUUGUCAGUGUCAGGUAUAAGAUUUGAGAUAAUCACGGCGGUGAAUAUGUCGAUGUUGAUCUCCUGGGUUUAAACACCAAGAGGUUUCACAGGUUGAUUCCUUUUUCACAGAAGAUAUGAAGUAGCGUAUUCUUCAGUACAGAUCGCCGUUUCAAUGGACAACAGGAACUUACAAACAGACCAAGGCAUUUUCACUUUCCGUUGGAGUAGAAAGCCAGUGACAUGGAAUGCAUUCAAUGCGACAUUUUACGUAUUAAGGAACGCAGACUGUGCGGGUCCCUCCCCUCCAAGGCGCUAAACGUUACAUAACUCCCGCAUCCAAUAGGCCAAGCUGUUAGGCUGUCAAACUACACGUAGCUACAACGCAGUAAACAGUCAUCCUAUGUAAUGAUAUAGUUCGUCUUCGCUUCAUCACUAUUCUAGGACGGCGUGCAAAAGCCUGAGAGUAAAACCAUGCUACGUCACUAACUGCCCGCAAAUAAAGUAACUCCGAUUGGAGGAGUCAGCAGAAACUUCUGUGACGCUUUAUAGCACUUCAUCAAAAUGAAUUUCCUGUGAAAGACGCAGUUAAUUAUUACAGACACAUAUAAAGACAUCCUUGACGUAACUAGGUAUAUACCAUGCCUGUUUAUGUAAAUAG
Non-coding RNA from Zootermopsis nevadensis, 665 nucleotides. The record is from RefSeq and is a predicted model, not a curated record. Lineage: Eukaryota; Metazoa; Arthropoda; Insecta; Blattodea; Termopsidae.